AAAGGGAAAAAAGAAAGAAAAGAAUCAGAAUCUUCUGAGCUUAAUAAUGCAAGUGAAAAUUUAUGUAGUGUCUCUCUUGCUUUUUGUAUGAGAGGUUGAAAGCCUGCACAUCUUAAUAAGGUAUACCUAAUAACAUGUUAAUAACUCACAUAUUGUCCGCUUUGGACUACAGACCUUAAAUGAAAGGGCCUUCAUAAAUUAUACAUGUCUGACAAAUAGGUGAUACAUUUUUCAAAUCACAUAAGCUCUUCAGAAUCAAGUCUGCUUUGUGGAGAUAAUUAAAGAAAAUCAAUGUGUUUUGGUUGAUAGAUAUUUGACUAGAAAACACAUUCUCCCCUCAACUCAGACAAUGGGGCGCCUAAGCUUCAAGACCAGUGUUCUCUGAAGACAGAGUGAGGGAUGGGAUUGGAAGGCUCAAGUGUUCUGGGUGCAGGACUUAUGACUCCAGACACCAGGUUCUCCCUGUGGUACCGGUCCUGACCCUAACUUCCCACUGAGCUGAGGGCAAUUGAGUUGAACUCCUGAUCUCUGUCUCUUUCCCUGGGUCAAGGAAUAUGAUUCUUUUUGUCUCACUGGGACCACGAGAGGCUUAAUUCAUCAAUGUUGGUAAAGUGCUAGGAAGAUGAGAAGUGCUGUGCCCAUUCUAAGCAACAUUAUUGAUUCACUUUUUCCUUGUGGUUAAUAUAAAGUUCUCCACAUAUCAGAUAAUGGCUCAGCGUUGCAUAAACAGCCAAGAAUCGCUAGUGGGAGAGAUGUGGCCUGUGUUUUCUCUUAGGAAUAUUGAUGUCUGUAAAAUGCCUUCAGUUUCUCUGAAAAAACAUUAUUACAUGAUUUAAGCUGAUUAUAUUAUUGUUGUAUUUUUAUCUGCAUAUCAGAGUCUUUUUUUAUUUGUUUGUAUUGUUUUGUUUUUCAGUAAUGAUCUGAAAUAAUGUUGAGCCCAGUAAAUAUUUUAUGUUAAGGAAGGCCUAGAUUGUUCAUCAGACUUGGUUCUGGAUCACUUCUUCCUGUUUCCAAAUUCUAAACAUCCUCAGGAAAUGGAGAAUUCAACACCACUAGUUAUCAUAAAAAUGGAUGUUCAGUGGACUGUCGCAAUGAAGUAACAGAAUCCCCAGUUUUCAGCUGGUCACAUGGCAGCCCAGAAUAAAGCCACAUCUCUCAGCCUCCCUUGCAGCUUGGUGUGCCAGUGCCGAAGCUUGGAUGAUGCUGUGGAGGAGUAAGUGUUCUGGGGCAGCUUCUGAGAACUUCCUUUAAGUGUCAGCUGCAUCUCCUUUGGCCCUCCUUUUUCGUCUUCUUCUUGAUCAUGGGAUAUGUGGAUGUAACUGCUGGAGUUCCUGUGACCAUGUUGGACCAUGCAGAUGAGGGCCUUGCUUAGGAGUGGGGAGUGGAGUCUGGCAGGAGCUGGGACCCUGUGUUCACAGGGCUGCGUAUUGCCCUGGACUUUUACAUGAGAGAGCUGAUGAACUGUGAUCUGUCUGUUAUUUUGGGUGUCGGACACUUCCAGCCAAAUGUGAUCCUGAUAGGAACGUCCUACAAAGUGAGCACUUUAAGUAUGGAGGGGACAAUAUACAGAGCAGUGAUGAGAAUGGAGAAUGGCAAUGAGGGAAGGCUUCCUGGAAGAAUCUGCUAUCCCAGCCCAAGCUCUUCUCUUAUCUCUCAUUAUUUCUUCUGUCUUACUGUUUUGUGAACAUGACGCUUUCUCUCUUCCUGACCUUUGCUCAUGCUGUUCCUUCUGCAAUGCUUUCUCUGGUUAUCUUCCUGCUUGUCUAGUUAAUUUUAUAAUUAUAUUAAAUUAUACAGUCCGCAUAAGUACUUAACACGGCUAGUAAAUCUGUGUAAACACCACGUACAUUUUGCUGUUAUGCUCCUUAUCAUGAUUACUAGCCAGGUCAAAUUUUGCCUCUUUUCCGAAACCUCUCUUGAACACUCUUCCUCUUUGGUACUGCAGUAGUACUGCCACUCAGUACCCUAACACCUGACACUUAAAAUGUAUUUCACUCACAUCAGAACCCUGAUAUCUGGCACCUAGUGGUGCUCGGGAAAUGUUUGCUGAAUGCAACUGUGUUAUACCAGUUCUGUUUAGGGGAAGUAACUCUGUGUUCUGUUUAGGGGAAGUAACUCUGGCUAGUUAUUUGUGUAGCUACUACUCAAGAGGAAUGGAGGGACAAGAUCAGUGUGGCCCCCAAGCUUCCGUCUUCUUUGUCUCCUGGCUUCUUUGCCAUUGUGUCACCUCCCCAUCCUCAGGCUGUUAUUCUUAUGGCCACUUCUGUAAAGGAAGGUCAUAGCAAAACAGCUUCAGCCUUGCCUUAGCUUGCCUCCUGAAUCCUCAGCUUUGCCGACCUGAAUUCUAAUCACUGCUUUUUAGGGGUCAGAGGAAUGGAGGCAAACAAACAGAUCAGUAUGGGGUUGGGAGGAGUCAAAGCUGUAUUUGCAAGGUUACUCCAUUUUGACAGCAACAGGACUGGUAUUUGAAGGCAAUUUUUUUUUUUUGAGACGGAGUCUUGCUCUCUUGCCCAGGCUGGAGUGCAGUGGUGCAAUCUUGGCUCACUGCAAGCUCCGCCUCCCAGGUUCAUGCCAUUCUUCUGCCUCAGCCUCCCGAGUAGCUGGGACUACAGGCGUGUGCCACCAGGCCGGCUAAUUUUUGUAUUUUUUUUUUUUUUAGUAGAGACGGGGUUUCACCUUGUUAGUCAGGAUGGUCUUGAUCUCCUGACCUCGUGAUCCGCCCACCUCGGCCUUCCAAAGUGCUGGGAUUACAGGCGUGAGCCACCACGCCCAGCCUGAAGGCAACUUUUAUACAGUAUUAUGCUAUCCUUUGGUUUACAUGUUUCUGCUAGAUGGGAUUGCUAUGCCAACACACCCCAUGUGUGGAACUGUGUCUCAGUUCCCACCCUCAGCUCUACUAAGGUGUCCCCCUUGCACUUUCCUCCCUCCAGUCCCUUGGGCUAUUGGCACUGUCACUCAGGUGUCCAGGCAGCUGACAUGGGUGGUAGAAGCAGGCAUUAUCCCGUUGUCUCAGUUGGGCUUAUACAGGGACUCCUGCUUGGUCUUUGGGAGUUCAGAUGCUAAAAAGUCCCCUGUCAAGAAUAAGGAGGGCCUUGACACUGAAGGGAUGAGGCAGAUUUUGCUCCAGAUGGUCUUUGGAAAAAGGAAUUAGUACAGCCAGAUUGGAAAGUUUUAGUGAUUGAGAAAGAAGUACUGAUUUUGAUGAAUCAUUUCCACAGUCCCUGCCCUAUUUCUUGGUCUUGUCUCUGUUUGGAGGACUGAGUGAAAGUGUCCAUCCAGCUUCCUCCCAUCGGUGCUAACAAACUGCACUGGCUGGAUUUUGGUACCACAUUCCCACGGUGGUAUGUCUUAGGUCUCAGGCCAGCGUCCAAAGAGACCAUAUAUUAUUGUAAUUGACUAUUUUAUUGAGACCCUUAUAAUCAUACCUACUUUACCCAGUAAAGCAAUUCUUGCUUUCUUAUUCACAAGCUUUUUCCGGAUAGUAGGUGAUUACAAUAUGUCCCUCAUCUAAGCCUCCACCUAUGAUUUCCAAACAGUAAAGUUCCUCAGCUGAAUAUUAGUUAUCCCUCUUGUUUUUUUUAAAAGUGACAUUAGGAAAUGGCUAAACAUUUUAUUGCCUUCUUAUUGUCAUCUGCUUUUCCUCCACCCACCUCCUGGGUAGGUACAACAGAGCUUGCAGGGUGGCAGUGGUAGAAUGGCAUGUGGGCCAUAGACUUGUUUCAUUUGGCUUGUAGAGAACUUAACAUUUUGAGGAGGGAUUAUUUCCUAGUUAAUAAGUGGGAGAUUUCAACUCACAUAAAAACCUAGAUUCCCAACUUUUAAAAAGUCAGUUUCCACUUGAUGACAGUCAGCUACUACUGGGCAAUGGUUGCCUCUCUUAACCAAGGCAUUUUCUCACCAGUUCACCAUCACUGGCCCACAUUUGUCUAGCUUCUUCAUUAUCUGCUUAGCCCAGAGGGCAUUUGGUUUGAGACCCUUGACACAGCCCCCUUCUCCAGCUCCCACACUUUUCAGUGUCUGCUUUGCUACUCCUGCUGUCUCAGAUAUUCCCUCCAAUGGGCCUUUUCCUCACCAAUCCCGGCUGUAACAAAUCCUGUACAGCAGCCCUAUGCACUCUUCCUGGGGAAGAGCUCUAUGCUUUAUUUCCCCACAGAUUUAGUUGCAGUUGGGAAGCUGAGUGCUGACCUCCAGGUAAAUAUUGGAGAUCUAUGGGCAGAUCCCAGCCUGUUGGCUGGAGGUGCUAGUUCUGGUGCCAUGGACAUAUGGGUCUGACCCUGCAGUCUUUUGCCCUGCUCCUGAACUCCCAGUUUUGAGCUUGAUUGCAGCCUACAAUUAGGGGCAGAGCAGUAUGGGGAGUUGUUUUUAUCCUUUUGGAGAACUGUGGGCUUUCCCCAUAAUAAAUGCUGUAAUAUAAUGAUAACCGCACAGUUGCUUUACAGUUUUUUCGUUAAGUUCCUUCUUAUAAAUCAUUCCUUUACAUGUCUCAAUGACCUGAUGAAGUAGGUGUUAUUAUGGCCCCUGUUUUGCAGAUGAGCCCUAGAGGAGGCUCAGAGCACCUGCCCAAGAUUUCAUGGUCACAGCCCAUCAGGGUCUCAGGCGCCCAUGGUUUUUUAUUUAAAAAAAUUGUUUUAAGCUAUCAUACUGCUCACUGUGUGGCCUCAAUUUUAGGCUUGAAUGUUUCUCCAAAUCUGUAAAUGCCUAUAGACACAACUUAGCACACAGGAGCAUCAGGGUUACUAGUUACAUUCACCCUAUCACUGAAUAGGCCAUCAACAGAACCCAAAGAGAAAAAAAUCCCCAGUACUGUUUAUAUGCCAGUGAAUUUCUCAACCUAAACUCUCUGAAUCCUGAGCUAUAAAUGUUAGAAAUAUAUACAUUUUUAGUAACAAAAAUGGCUUUGGCAUUUCUAAAUAUUCAGAAAUUUGCAACCAUUACCUUCUUUAUUAUAUCUACACACCUUUAUAUUCUUAAUUGUUUAAAAUUCAAAAUUGACAGAUGUUAAAAAAGUUGGUUACAUUUUAACUAAUAAUAAUCAUAUGGGUUUGAUAUGCUGGCUAUGUUUUUUAAAUGUCCAUGGAAAUAAAUAUAUAAGUAC
RNAcentral lists this long non-coding RNA (5095 nucleotides) under Homo sapiens (human). Its description in RNAcentral is "HSALNT0315701". The record is from RNAcentral. Lineage: Eukaryota; Metazoa; Chordata; Mammalia; Primates; Hominidae.